CGGCCGGGGUCUAGGUAUAAUAACUUUAUAUUGUGAAACUGCGAAUGGCUCAUUAAAUCAGUUAUGAUCUACGUGACAAAUUCUUUACUACUUGGAUAACCGUGGUAAUUCUAGAGCUAAUACAUGCAAAAAAGCCCUGACUUACGAAGGGGUGCACUUAUUAGAUAAAACCAACGCGGGGUAAAACCUGUUUCUUGGUGAAUCAUAAUAAUUAAGCGGAUCGCAUGGCCUUGUGCCGGCGACGGUCCACUCGAUUUUCUGCCCUAUCAUGGUUGAGAUUGUAAGAUAGAGSCUUACAAUGCCUACAACGGGUAACGGGGAAUUAGGGUUCGAUUCCGGAGAGGGAGCCUGAGAAACGGCUACCACAUCCAAGGAAGGCAGCAGGCGCGCAAAUUACCCAAUCCCGACACGGGGAGGUAGUGACAAUACAUAACAAUGCAGGGCCUUUAAGGUCUUGCAAUUGGAAUGAGUACAAUUUAAAUCCCUUUAACGAGGAUCAAUUGGAGGGCAAGUCUGGUGCCAGCAGCCGCGGUAAUUCCAGCUCCAAUAGCGUAUAUUAAAGUUGUUGCAGUUAAAACGUCCGUAGUCAAACUUUAGUCUUACCGGCGUAGUGGCCUGGUCUUCAUUGACCAAGCUCAUUGCUGCCGGAGACUCCAUGUCCAUUGACUCCUAGUCCUCGUGGCUAGGGUUUUCUGGACAAUUACCAUGAGCAAAUCAGAGUGUUUAAAGCAGGCUUUUAAGCUUGAAUGUGUUAGCAUGGAAUAAUGAAAUAUGACUUUAGUCCUAUUUUCGUUGGUUUAGGUACUUCAGUAAUGAUGAAUAGAAACGGUUAGGGGCAUUUGUAUUUGGUCGCUAGAGGUGAAAUUCUUGGAUUGACCGAAGACAAACUACUGCGAAAGCAUUUGACCCGGGACGUUUUCAUUGAUCAAGGUCUAAAGUUAAGGGAUCGAAGACGAUUAGAUACCGUCGUAGUCUUAACCACAAACUAUGCCGACUAGAGAUUGGGCGUGUUUAUUAUGACUCGCUCAGCAUCUUAGCGAAAGUAAAGUUUUUGGGUUCUGGGGGGAGUAUGGGACGCAAGGGCUGAAACUUWAAGGAAUUGACGGAAGGGCACCACCAGGAGUGGAGCCUGCGGCUUAAUUUGACUCAACACGGGGAAACUCACCAGGUCCAGACAUAGUAAGGAUUGACAGAUUGAAAGCUCUUUCUAGAUUCUAUGGGUGGUGGUGCAUGGCCGUUCUUAGUUCGUGGAGUGAUUUGUCUGGUUAAUUCCGAUAACGAACGAGACCUUAUUCUGCUAAUUAGACAGGCUAACUCUUUCGGGUUGGUUUAUAUUUAAUAUUUAACUGGCUUCUUAGAGAGACUAUCGCUCAAGCCGAAGAAUG
This 1385-nucleotide ribosomal RNA is filed under the name Rhizopus arrhizus. RNAcentral's name for it is "SSU rRNA". The record is from RNAcentral. Lineage: Eukaryota; Fungi; Mucoromycota; Mucoromycetes; Mucorales; Rhizopodaceae.